RNAcentral lists this ribosomal RNA (497 nucleotides) under uncultured bacterium. Its description in RNAcentral is "partial 16S ribosomal RNA". It matches the Rfam family "Bacterial small subunit ribosomal RNA", at positions 28 to 507 of the family's 1533-position model. The record is from RNAcentral.
GACGAACGCUGGCGGCGUGCCUAAUACAUGCAAGUUGAGCGCUGAAGGUUGGUACUUGUACCAACUGGAUGAGCAGCGAACGGGUGAGUAACGCGUGGGGAAUCUGCCUUUGAGCGGGGGACAACAUUUGGAAACGAAUGCUAAUACCGCAUAAAAACUUUAAACACAAGUUUUAAGUUUGAAAGAUGCAAUUGCAUCACUCAAAGAUGAUCCCGCGUUGUAUUAGCUAGUUGGUGAGGUAAAGGCUCACCAAGGCGAUGAUACAUAGCCGACCUGAGAGGGUGAUAGGCCACAUUGGGACUGAGACAAGGCCCAAACUCCUACGGGAGGGAGCAGUAGGGAAUCUUCGGAAAUGGACGAAAGUCUGACCGAGCAACGCCGCGGGAGUGAAGAAGGGUGUCGGAUCGUAAAACUCUGUUGGUAGAGAAGAACGUUGGUGAGAGUGGAAAGCUCAUCAAGUGACGGUAACUACCGAGAAAGGGACGGCUAACUACGUG